Molecule: ribosomal RNA, 506 nt
Filed under: uncultured bacterium
Lineage: Bacteria
Description: partial 16S ribosomal RNA
Rfam family: Bacterial small subunit ribosomal RNA
Source: RNAcentral
AGUGAACGCUGGCGGUAGGCCUAACACAUGCAAGUCGAACGGCAGCACAGGAGAGCUUGCUCUCUGGGUGGCAAGUGGCGGACGGGUGAGGAAUACAUCGGAAUCUACUCUGUCGUGGGGGAUAACGUAGGGAAACUUACGCUAAUACCGCAUACGACCUACGGGUGAAAGCAGGGGACCUUCGGGCCUUGCGCGAUUGAAUGAGCCGAUGUCGGAUUAGCUAGUUGGCGGGGUAAAGGCCCACCAAGGCGACGAUCCGUAGCUGGUCUGAGAAGAUGAUCAGCCACACUGGAACUGAGACACGGUCCAGACUCCUACGGGAGUCAGCAGUGGGGAAUAUUGGACAAUGGGCGCAAGCCUGAUUCAGCCAUACCGCGUGGGUGAAGAAGGCCUUCGGGUUGUAAAGCCCUUUUGUUGGGAAAGAAAUCCAGCUGGCUAAUACCCGGUUGGGAUGACGGUACCCAAAGAAUGAGCACCGGCUAACUUCGUGCCAGCCGCCGCAGUAA